CCUACGGGAGGCAGCAGUGGGGAAUCUUGCACAAUGGAGGAAACUCUGAUGCAGCGAUGCCGCGUGAGUGAAGAAGGCCCAUGGUUUGUAAAGCUCUUCGUCGGGAAGAAAAUGACG
This 117-nucleotide ribosomal RNA is filed under the name uncultured bacterium. RNAcentral's name for it is "partial 16S ribosomal RNA". It matches the Rfam family "Bacterial small subunit ribosomal RNA", at positions 338 to 456 of the family's 1533-position model. The record is from RNAcentral.